CCGCCCAUAGCUCAAUGGUAGAGCAGUUGCCUUUUAAGCAAUUGAUUUUGGUUCGAUUCCAAGUGGGCGGA
This 71-nucleotide transfer RNA is filed under the name Candidatus Taylorbacteria bacterium RIFCSPHIGHO2_01_FULL_51_15. RNAcentral's name for it is "tRNA-Lys". It matches the Rfam family "tRNA". From Rfam's summary of the family: Transfer RNA (tRNA) molecules are approximately 80 nucleotides in length. Their secondary structure includes four short double-helical elements and three loops (D, anti-codon, and T loops). Further hydrogen bonds mediate the characteristic L-shaped molecular structure. tRNAs have two regions of fundamental functional importance: the anti-codon, which is responsible for specific mRNA codon recognition, and the 3' end, to which the tRNAs corresponding amino acid is attached (by aminoacyl-tRNA synthetases). tRNAs cope with the degeneracy of the genetic code in two manners: having more than one tRNA (with a specific anti-codon) for a particular amino acid; and 'wobble' base-pairing, i.e. permitting non-standard base-pairing at the 3rd anti-codon position. The record is from RNAcentral. Lineage: Bacteria; Candidatus Tayloriibacteriota.